Capsicum annuum is the source of this 999-nucleotide long non-coding RNA. RefSeq lists it as uncharacterized. The record is from RefSeq and is a predicted model, not a curated record. The transcript has 3 exons. NCBI's taxonomy places the organism in Eukaryota, Viridiplantae, Streptophyta, Magnoliopsida, Solanales, Solanaceae.
GGAUAUUUUUUUUACUUCAGUUAAACUCAUUUUUACUAUAUAGAAAGUUGAGUGUGAAACGAUCAAGGACAAAAUAGUCAUUUUAUUUCAUGGUAAAUGAGUUCCAAAACAAUCUACCUUUUCAAUCAUCACUAUCACUCAUCUUCACUCUUCAAUAUUCAUGGAUGGCUUCUCAUCUGGGUUAAUGUUGUAGCUGAUAGAUUAUCGUUGAAUCUCGGUCUAUUCUCCUAAGUGAAUCUAUGUCGCUCGUACUUGAAUGUGGAUCUAGAGGUUGAAUUCUUCAUGAUCUAAAUUUUAACAUUCAGGGGUACAGAUAUGGGAGCAAGGAUUCAACUAAAAAUAAUUCAAAUAUCUAAAAAUAUGGUUUAUGUUUAAAUUAUUAGACAUGUGAAAAACGAAGAAGGUGUUAUGAGGAAAAUAUAUUGAACAAGAGGAGAAUCCUAGAAGCUGAUACAAGGAAAGCGACUGACAUAGAAAUUUCUAUAUACAAGAUCAAUUGACCAUAUUCGGUAGGGAUCUUAUACUCACACUCAUGUCAUGUCUACACGGAUGUGGCAUCGAAAGUGAAGAGUCCAAGCAACUUAGAAUUGAAUUGUUCAAGCAUUUUUGCAGAAAGAGGCUGCAUUUUUUGUCUGAAGAUCUGUAUGGUGUGGACUCUCUCAAAGAUCAUAAGGAAAUUUAUCAUCUAACCACUCCUCGACCUACUGUGAGUGGAUGAAUUUUCUUUCUGAAUGAAUUCACAGGAAUCAGUUACUUGCUUAUUCGAAAUCUAAUUGAAUGUAAUGAAAUUUUUAUAUAAAAGGAUAGAGCAUUUAGAGCAUGUCAAAGUAAAAUCAUGAUUAUUUUGAUAAGAAUGAAAAUUCUCAAAGUUGAGGCUCUUGAAGGGUAAUCAUUAAUAUGUAGCUAUGUAAAUAAUUAUUAUCGUUCUUCUGUUGUACUCAGAUAUAUGCAUAAUGUAGUAUGCUAUAUUGGUAUAGUAACAAGUUUUCUUUUUCUUUC